AACGCACAUUGCACCUAUUGGUAUUCCGAUAGGUAUGCUUGUUCGAGUCUCAGUUUUCAUCUCACACAACCAAUGGUUUUUAAAAGCUGUAAUGGCGCCAAGUGGUUAUUGUGGUAUUGAGUGUCUUCCCACUUGUUAAACGAGAGGGUCACUUGAAAUACUUGGUAACUUUCAUGAGUCCAAGAAUGCUUCGCUUAUGUCUUGAAAAGCUCAAAGUACCGCUAAGUUUAAGCCUUUACUGGUCACUCUUUAGCUGGGAAAUUUUCGAGAUUGAAGUAAUCGACAGACUUUUACUACCAAACUUGAUAUCGACUAGCAGUCGUAGCUACUGUCUAAUCGAAAUCUUUGAACCCUUGAGCUCGAAUCAAGCAAGAUUACCCGCUGAACUUAA
Molecule: unclassified non-coding RNA, 391 nt
Filed under: uncultured fungus
Lineage: Eukaryota; Fungi
Description: partial contains 5.8S ribosomal RNA, internal transcribed spacer 2, and large subunit ribosomal RNA
Source: RNAcentral